Molecule: ribosomal RNA, 519 nt
Filed under: uncultured bacterium
Lineage: Bacteria
Description: partial 16S ribosomal RNA
Rfam family: Bacterial small subunit ribosomal RNA
Source: RNAcentral
UGGGGAAUUUUGGACAAUGGGCGCAAGCCUGAUCCAGCCAUGCCGCGUGCGGGAAGAAGGCCUUCGGGUUGUAAACCGCUUUUGUCAGGGAAGAAAUCUUCUGAGUUAAUACCUCGGGAGGAUGACGGUACCUGAAGAAUAAGCACCGGCUAACUACGUGCCAGCAGCCGCGGUAAUACGUAGGGUGCAAGCGUUAAUCGGAAUUACUGGGCGUAAAGCGUGCGCAGGCGGUUUUGUAAGACAGAGGUGAAAUCCCCGGGCUCAACCUGGGAACUGCCUUUGUGACUGCAAGGCUUGAGUGGCGGCAGAGGGGGGAUGGAAUUCCGCGUGUAGCAGUGAAAUGCGUAGAUAUGCGGAGGAACACCGAUGGCGAAGGCAAUCCCCUGGGCCUGCACUGACGCUCAUGCACGAAAGCGUGGGGAGCAAACAGGAUUAGAUAGCCCUGGUAGUCCACGCCCUAAAACGAUGCCAACUGGUUGUUGGGAAGGUUCCUUCUCAGUAACGUAGCUAACGCGUGAA